UCCGCCUGAAACGAGCCGCUAGUAUAACAAGGUCGUUCUUCCACGAGCUCCAGACUGGAAGUGGUACUUUCCAGGCCCAGGGCGAUGUUCUGCUGUCUGGAGAUGUAAAUGCCAGGACCGGUUCUGAGUGUGACAGCACCGGAGCUCUCGGGAAUAAACUCUCAGUCAAAACCUCUCCAUACCUGCUCUCCAGACUGAACCGUCAUACAGGAUUGGAAGAACGUGAAGUGGAGUAAAUGGCAUGUUCUUCAGGUGACAUACUACGUUCAAUCCUCCGGUCGAAGCGUCAGUGGCUCUCCGUCCGUCUCUCCCCGUAAUGAGGCAGUGGAGGAAAUGAGCGAGUGAAUGUGUGGAGGUGUAAUAGUCGGAAGGAGAAAUGGAAAGAGAUGAAUCGCUAGCAGAUAGAUAAUUGGAAAGAGGCUCUCUGGAGAAGCGCAUGAGAAGGCUUGUGUAAUUAGAACGGAGGAGUGUGUGAGGAAUCUAAAUGUUUCUGUGUUUGGGUCUGCCGUCCUGUAGAGCCACUCAGACACACGAGUCCAUCUGUUUCCUGCUGCUUCACCUGCAUCCAGACACACCAGCAGCUGUUCGUUUGUUCGAGUGUGUGCUGAUGAUUUAGUGCAUUGAUCAUAUCUCAUCACACUCCACGUAAACACAAGUGCCUCUGGAAAU
Long non-coding RNA from Cyprinus carpio (common carp), 669 nucleotides. RefSeq lists it as uncharacterized. NCBI's taxonomy places the organism in Eukaryota, Metazoa, Chordata, Actinopteri, Cypriniformes, Cyprinidae. The record is from RefSeq and is a predicted model, not a curated record. The transcript is spliced from 3 exons.